This 313-nucleotide long non-coding RNA is filed under the name Homo sapiens (human). RNAcentral's name for it is "HSALNT0159234". Lineage: Eukaryota; Metazoa; Chordata; Mammalia; Primates; Hominidae. The record is from RNAcentral.
GUUUGGAUCAGGCAGUAGAUGAGGUUAAGGGUUCCUGUGGUGGUUUAUUUGGUGAGACUGGGCAUGAUUCAGAAAAGUUGGAAGAUCUAGAGAGGGAUCUUGCAAUCUGAAGUUUCUUGUUUAGUCACUGGAGGAUCUGAACGUCUAUGACACUCUUUCGAGCUGACACAGUGAAGAACAUAGAAGGAGAACUCACCCAGUCUGCCAGGGUCACAGAAUGAUCAUACUCAAGAUCUUCCUGGGGAGUCAAUGGCAAAUUUCACUGGGCUAUUUUACAGAUGAAGAAGGAACAUAAAGAAGGUUCUGGGACCCC